GAUAAACGCUGGCGGCGUGCCUAACACAUGCAAGUCGAACGCCCUGGAGCAAUUCAGGGAGUGGCGGACGGGUGAGGAACACGUGGGUGAUCUGCCUUGAGGUGAGGAAUACCGGCGAGAAAUCGCCGACAAUACCGCAUAGGUUCGUAAGAACAAAGUCGCAAGACGCCUUGAGAUGAGCCUGCGUCCGAUUAGCCAGUUGGUGGGUAAUGGCCUACCAAAGCAGCGAUCGGUAGCUGGUCUGAGAGGACGAUCAGCCACACUGGGA
This 268-nucleotide ribosomal RNA is filed under the name uncultured bacterium. Its description in RNAcentral is "partial 16S ribosomal RNA". It matches the Rfam family "Bacterial small subunit ribosomal RNA", at positions 28 to 318 of the family's 1533-position model. The record is from RNAcentral.